Meriones unguiculatus (Mongolian gerbil) is the source of this 4450-nucleotide RNA transcript. It is a transcript of the gene named tubulin tyrosine ligase like 11, with no coding region annotated. Lineage: Eukaryota; Metazoa; Chordata; Mammalia; Rodentia; Muridae. The transcript is spliced from 10 exons. The record is from RefSeq and is a predicted model, not a curated record.
UGAUUGUCCCUUGCGGGGCCCCGUCCCGAGGCGGUGACUCGUCCCUGUCGACUAGAGCCUGAGUGAUCAUGGCAACGGGCUCGGGCGGGGAGCGCGGAGCGGCGGCGGCGGCGGCGGCGGCGGCGGCGGUUUGGUCGCGGGCCGGGACGGCGGAGCGGCGGCGGCGGCGGCGGCGGUGACUGUGGCACCGGCACCGGCCCCGAGCGCCAUGCGGCGCGGCAGCCCCGUGCGGGAGCCGGCGGCCGAGUGGGAGGCGGCCGGGGCGGCGGCGGCGGCGGAGGCGCGAGCGGCGGGCGAGCAGGCGGGCGCGGGCGCGGCCGGGGAGCCCGAGCGCUCGGCGCGGGACGAGCAGCCCAAGGCCCUGGCCCCGUCCCGGGCGCGGCCCCGCGCCACCGAGGAGGGCGACGUGCGAGUGUCCCGACGCCUGCCGCCCGCGCUGCCCCUGGCCCCGUCGACGCCGGCGGCGCAGUUCUUCUGCCAGCUCGCCAAGGCCCGGGCGCGGGGCUCCGGCCGGGGCUACCGGCGGAACUCGGGCCCGCUGCGGCCGGUCACCGUGGACAGCUCCAAGGCCCGCACCUCCCUGGACGCGCUCAAGAUCAGCCUUCGCCAGCUCCGGUGGAAGGAGUUCCCGUUCGGCCGGCGCUUGCCUUGUGACAUCUACUGGCAUGGAGUUUCCUUUCACGACAGUGACAUACUCUCCGGCCAAGUGAACAAAUUUCCAGGCAUGACAGAGAUGGUGCGUAAAAUCACUCUGAGCAGAGCGCUGAGAAUCAUGCAGAACCUGUUUCCGGAAGAGUACAACUUCUACCCUCGCUCGUGGAUUCUGCCUGACGAGUUCCAGCUCUUUGUUAGCCAGGUCCGAACAGUGAAAGAUGGUGACCCUACCUGGAAGCCUACUUUUAUUGUGAAACCAGAUGGUGGUUGUCAGGGUGAUGGAAUUUACCUCAUUAAAGAUCCCAGUGACACUCGCCUGACUGGGACCCUCCAGAGCCGGCCGGCAGUGGUCCAGGAGUACAUCCGCAAGCCUCUCCUGAUUGACAAGCUCAAGUUUGACAUCCGUCUCUAUGUCUUGCUAAAGUCCUUGGAACCCUUAGAGAUUUAUAUAGCCAAAGAUGGACUCACUAGAUUUUGUACAGAGCCAUAUCAAGAGCCCAACCCCCAUAAUCUGCACCAUAUCUUUAUGCACUUGACCAACUACUCGCUGAAUAUCCACAGUGGCAAGUUCGUCCACUCCGACUGCGCCAGCACGGGCAGCAAGCGGACCUUCUCCAGCAUCCUUUGCAGACUGUCUUCCAAAGGCGUGGACAUCAGGAAGGUCUGGUCUGAUAUCAUCUCCUUAGUUAUUAAGACUGUCAUCGCCCUGACCCCGGAGCUCAAAGUUUUCUACCAGUCAGACAUCCCGACAGGGAGGCCGGGGCCCACAUGCUUCCAGAUCCUAGGCUUUGACAUUCUCCUGAUGAAAAACCUGAAGCCCAUGCUGCUGGAAGUGAAUGCAAACCCCAGCAUGAGAAUUGAGCAUGAAUACGAACUCUCUCCAGGGGUGUUUGAAAACAUCCCCAGCAUGGUGGAUGAAGAGGUGAAGGUGGCCGUGAUCAGAGACACCCUGCGCCUCAUAGACCCGCUGAAGAAGAAAAAGGAGAUUCAGUCUCAGCAGCCAGAAAAGCUUUUCACUUCAAAGGAAAAUCUGGACUAUGACCUGAGCGGCGACCCCAACUCCAGUCCUGAUGCCCACCUGCCCUCCAUUUGCCUCAAGCAAGUGUUCCCCAAGUAUGCCAAGCAGUUCAACUACCUGCGCCUGGUCGACAGGAUGGCCAAUUUGUUUAUCCGCUUCCUGGGGAUCAAGGGGACGAUGAAGUUGGGACCAACUGGCUUUCGGACCUUCAUAAGGAACUGCAAGCUGAGUAGCAGCAGCCUGUCCAUGGCCGCUGUGGACAUCCUCUACAUUGACAUCACAAGGAGGUGGAACUCCAUGACCCUCAACCAGCGGGAGUCAGGGAUGUGUCUGCAGGCGUUUGUCGAAGCUUUCUUCUUCCUGGCCCAGAGGAAGUUCAAGAUGCAGCCCCUCCACGAGCAGGUGGCCUCCUUGAUCGACCUGUGUGAAUAUCACCUAUCCCUGCUGGACGAAAAACGCUUGGUGUGCGGCCGGGGCCGGCGCCCCCAUAGUAGCCCUCCCCAGCAAAUGAACCCACAACCUAGUCAGCUGUAGGCAUCCCUGCACCCCGAGUGAUUGGUGUUAGCAAGCUCUCUCACUCCAGACACACUCUUCCCUGAAGGCCACCCUGUCCUCUUGGAAGAAGGUGUGCCCUUGGGGGCUGAGUACCCUGAGCUUUGCGCCCCUGCCGGGAGUCACCAGGGUUUCAGCUGCCGUCCUUUCUGUGUUCUGCAGGGUUCUCGCCUCGCAUGGCCAAUUCUGGGCCACCCUCCUCCCAGCACCUCGUGGUGACCCACCCGUCUGUGAGUCAUCAGUGGACCUAUGACCUCUGAGAUGUGACGGAUGGCACCUGCUAUGCCGGGCUCCUGGGAAGCACCAACUGGGCCAGCUUUGCUGUGCUUGGGGAUGCAGAGGAUUGGAGGGUGGGGGAGAGGACAGACCAUCUCAAAGCAGAGAGCUGUGGACGUGGAGAACAGUACCCCGGGGUCUGCUGGGGCCUCCGAGAGCCUGCUGGUCAGAGCUUGACGUCACUGCGUCUCUUUCCUUCCGCCCGUUCCCUGAAAAGAAGUGGAAAUAUCAAGAAGGCGGACACCCCGACCGUGUGCUGCAUGGGGCCACUGAGUGAAAGACGAGGACUGUCACCGUCUUCCUGACAGCUCUCCAGAGCCCGUCUCAGCCAACAUGGCAGCCCAUGCGUCCAGGAAGCUGAGUGCACCGUCAGAGCACACCAGGGAUUCUAGGGACACAGGGCCUUCUGAAUUAUUCUUCUAUUGGGUCCCAAGGCCCUCAGCUACCUAAUUGGGAGAUACCCUGUCUCGGUGUCUUGGGAACAUUAGGCAAGAUGAUGACAAGCAUAGUAAUUGCAGAAGUAUAUGCUUGAUUACCUUGACUCUGGCUUCUGGGGCCUAACAAGGGUAACAGGACAGAAGCAAAAGCUUUCUUGAGCAACGCCCAUCAAAACGAAUGAAGCCUGCCUUUCAUCUGCACACGUUUGAAGACAUUCAACUCCACUCCUCAGAUGUCUGGAGUUGGCCUUGUGAUUGGCAGAAUACGAAUCCAAAACGGCUCAGAUCCCCCCUUCAUUUCCUGAUUACUGCCCUUUAUUCCUCAGGUCUGUAAGCGAGAACUGGCCUGGCAGAGCAGGCCCUGGAAACCUGCUCUUGAAGCUCAGGAUUCAUGCUCUCUCAUCAGGCGUCUUCCAGCAGCAGAGAGCCACCCAGGCUCAAAGAGGAAAAUUCACCAGUGAGCAGUGUACCCCGAAACCUUCCCUGCCACUCUCCCAUUUCAUUCGCUGAGUGUGAGUGACAUUUCCCCAUACUCUAUUUCUCAAUAAAUAAAUAAAUAAAUAAAGCAAUGUCUGUUUCUUGUUCUCAAAAACUCAGCAGAAUGGACAGCGUUCUGGUUGCCUCUUCUCAUGAUCUGAAGUCUUGCUUCACUUUGACUGGAAAAAACAUGCUGCCUCUGUUUAUAUUAUAUGCUCAGACAUACACACACUCACAUACACUCACACAGGUGUGCUCACACACUCACAUACACACACACAUACUCAAACACUGUCAUUGAGCUUCAGCAUCAAAUGAUAAAGAGACUAACUAACUAACUACUUCCUCAUUUCUGGUUCUUUGCGGCCCUGAGUAGCAAAACCUGCUCACCCAGAGAUGCUCCGGGGAAGGGGUUCCUCCCGCAAGAAGGGAAGCGUUUGCACUGACUCUGACCAGGGCUGCAGUCCUGGGAUGCCACGGCUCCCCCAGGCCUCACCUGGACUUCAGAGAUACUUUCCCUGUUUCACAUGAGAAUGGAGAGAGCAGAGGAGGCCCUGUCUCUUCCGGAAGGACGGAGGGCUUUGGAAGUCUGACGAGAGCCUGAAUUUGCCUGACGUGUGUCGCGGCUGGUAGGUGGCCGUGGAUGGGUGACUUUUCCUCCCUGACGCAAGUCCCUCUUCGGUACAGCAGAGAUCGGAUCCGAACAGACACAAAGAGCCUGGCACGAGGCUUGGCACCUGGGAAGUGUCUUCACAAACGCCUGUUGAGAAAAGGUAUGGGCUCCAUAUGCUGAAAGCAGUGGAGGCCAGGAAACGCUCCUGCCAGGCCUCGAGCCCCGGCAGGAGGGGCUCCUGGAGGUCUGUCAGGUCCCCCAGUCCAUCUCCCUCUGCCACGCCCACCUCUUAAAAGCCUUUCACAAUUCUUUAUUAAAUUUUCAUGGCGCAUCAAGUCGAGUCCCUUGCUGCAGCCUCAGUUGUCUUGGUAACUUCGCAAAAUGCAGUAAUAAAUGAAGCUGAGUGUCGCUAACAGGCUUAUU